This 274-nucleotide ribosomal RNA is filed under the name uncultured bacterium. Its description in RNAcentral is "partial 16S ribosomal RNA". It matches the Rfam family "Bacterial small subunit ribosomal RNA", at positions 523 to 796 of the family's 1533-position model. The record is from RNAcentral.
AUACGGAGGGUGCAAGCGUUAAGCGGAAUCACUGGGCGUAAAGCGCGCGCAGGCGGCUAUUUAAGUUGGAUGUGAAAGCCUACGGCUCAACCGUAGAACUGCAUCCAAAACUAUUUAGCUAGAGUGUGGGAGAGGAAGAUGGAAUUAGUUGUGUAGGGGUAAAAUCCGUAGAGAUAACUAGGAAUACCAAAAGCGAAGGCAACCUUCUGGAACACUACUGACGCUGAGGCGCGAAGGCGUGGGGAGCAAACAGGAUUAGAAACCCGAGUAGUCC